GACGAACGCUGGCGGCGUGCUUAACACAUGCAAGUCGAACGGAAAGGCCCUGCUUGCAGGGUACUCGAGUGGCGAACGGGUGAGUAACACGUGGGUGAUCUGCCCUGCACUUCGGGAUAAGCCUGGGAAACUGGGUCUAAUACCGGAUGGGAGCCAUUUUUAGUGCGAUGGUUGGAACGUUUUUUCGGUGUAGGAUGAGCUCGCGGCCUAUCCGCUUGUUGGUGGGGUAAUGGCCUACCAAGGCGGCGACGGGUAGCCGGACUUGGAGGGUGGACGGCCACAUCGGGACUGAGAUACGGCCCAGACUCCGACGGGAGGCAGAAGUGGGGAAGAGUGCACAAUGGGCGCAAGCCUGAUGCAGCGACGCCGCGGGGGGGAUGACGGCCUUCGGGUUGGAAACUCCUUUCGCUAGGGACGAAGCUUUUUGUGACGGUACCUAGAUAAGAAGCACCGGCUAACUACGUG
RNAcentral lists this ribosomal RNA (465 nucleotides) under uncultured bacterium. RNAcentral's name for it is "partial 16S ribosomal RNA". It matches the Rfam family "Bacterial small subunit ribosomal RNA", at positions 28 to 507 of the family's 1533-position model. The record is from RNAcentral.